CAGGUCUGUGAUGCCCUUAGAUGUCCUGGGCCGCACGCGUGCUACACUGACGCAUACAGCGAGUACUUCCCCGCUCCGCGAGGCAGCGGGUAAUCAGCAAUAUGCGUCGUGAUGGGGAUAGAUCUUUGCAAUUAUAGAUCUUGAACGAGGAAUUCCUAGUAGGCGCAAGUCAUUACCUUGCGCCGAUUAAGUCCCUGCCCUUUGUACACACCGCCCGU
RNAcentral lists this ribosomal RNA (218 nucleotides) under uncultured eukaryote. Its description in RNAcentral is "partial 18S ribosomal RNA". It matches the Rfam family "Eukaryotic small subunit ribosomal RNA", at positions 1457 to 1676 of the family's 1831-position model. The record is from RNAcentral.